This is a non-coding RNA of Pelobates cultripes (western spadefoot toad), 205 nucleotides long. NCBI's taxonomy places the organism in Eukaryota, Metazoa, Chordata, Amphibia, Anura, Pelobatidae. The record is from the annotation of a GenBank genome assembly.
UGAGAGUGUGCGUCUGUCAGUGAGUGAGCGUCUGUCAGUCAAAGUGCGGCCUUGACAGGAAGGGGUGGGGGAAAUUUAAACUCGGUUACAGGCAUGUACACACACACUCAGUUAAAGGCAGUCACACAUACAGGCACAGGCACAAACAAUGGCACAGCGACACACACAGACAGACAGUCACAUAGGCAGUCACACACACAGACAG